RNAcentral lists this ribosomal RNA (658 nucleotides) under uncultured fungus. Its description in RNAcentral is "LSU rRNA". It matches the Rfam family "Eukaryotic large subunit ribosomal RNA", at positions 23 to 664 of the family's 3401-position model. Lineage: Eukaryota; Fungi. The record is from RNAcentral.
ACCCGCUGAACUUAAGCAUAUCAAUAAGCGGAGGAAAAGAAACUAACAAGGAUUCCCCUAGUAACUGCGAGUGAAGCGGGAAAAGCUCAAAUUUAAAAUCUGGUAGUCUUUGGCUGCCCGAGUUGUAAUCUAGAGAAGUGUUACCCGUGCUGGACCGUGUACAAGUCUCCUGGAAUGGAGCGUCAUAGAGGGUGAGAAUCCCGUCUUUGACACGGACUCCCAGUGCUUUUGUGGUGCGCUCUCAACGAGUCGAGUUGUUUGGGAAUGCAGCUCAAAAUGGGUGGUGAAUUCCAUCUAAAGCUAAAUAUUGGCGAGAGACCGAUAGCGAACAAGUACCGUGAGGGAAAGAUGAAAAGAACUUUGGAAAGAGAGUUAAACAGUACGUGAAAUUGCUGAAAGGGAAACGCUUGAAGUCAGUCGCGUUGUCCGGAAAUCAACCUUGGUUCUCCUGGGUGUACUUUCUGGUUAACGGGCCAGCAUCAGUUUUGAUCGGUGGAAAAAGUUCAAGGGAAUGUGGCAUCUUCGGAUGUGUUAUAGCCCUCGAUCGUAUACACCGGUUGGGACUGAGGAAUUCAGCACGCCGCAAGGCCGGGUUUCGACCACGUUCGUGCUUAGGAUGCUGGCAUAAUGGCUUUAAUCGACCCGUCUUGAAACACGG